RNAcentral lists this ribosomal RNA (253 nucleotides) under uncultured bacterium. RNAcentral describes it as "partial 16S ribosomal RNA". It matches the Rfam family "Bacterial small subunit ribosomal RNA", at positions 524 to 776 of the family's 1533-position model. The record is from RNAcentral.
UACGUAGGGUGCAAGCGUUGUCCGGAAUUAUUGGGCGUAAAGAGCUCGUAGGCGGUUUGUCGCGUCGGCUGUGAAAACUCGGGGCUCAACCCCGAGCCUGCAGUCGAUACGGGCAAACUCGAGUGCGGUAGGGGAGACUGGAAUUCCUGGUGUAGCGGUGAAAUGCGCAGAUAUCAGGAGGAACACCGGCGGCGAAGGCGGGUCUCUGGGCCGUAACUGACGCUGAGGAGCGAAAGCGUGGGGAGCGAACAGG